RNAcentral lists this long non-coding RNA (4829 nucleotides) under Homo sapiens (human). RNAcentral's name for it is "HSALNT0121973". The record is from RNAcentral. Lineage: Eukaryota; Metazoa; Chordata; Mammalia; Primates; Hominidae.
ACCCACGAGAAGCUGAUCCCAUGACUAAAGUGCAGGCCGAACUAGAUGAGACCAAAAUCAUUCUGGGGACCAAGCUGGGAACCAGUGGAACCCUCAAGUCUCCCUUCCUCAUGGCUACUGCCUGUCUGACCAUUUACUGGGUUCCUAGGGUUUGGCUUCUGAAGACCUGGAUUCCCACCCUGGUGCCUUUGUUAGGGUUUCGGGUGCCUCCACACCCCACAGGUGCCUCCCCUUGCAGCGUUUGCAUUGAAGGUGAACAGAUUGAAGCACCGUGCACUGACCACAGGGCAGCUUCUGGAAUAUGGGCCCAGGGUUGUCACAUAGGCCCCUUUGAAAAGAGCCAGAACCCUGCAUUUUGAGCUGAAAUCUCCUGAUUUGUAACUGUUGCUUCAACUCUUUUUUUUUAAAUUUUUGCAUACAAGUGGAAUGUAAGCAGCUAUCUGUUUUUCUCAGGUUUUUCUCUUACAGCCUUUGCCUCUAAGUGGUCCCCUUGCCUCCUGCUCACCUCCAGUCUGUCCACCAGAGAGUAGUCAUUGAUCUGCACAACUUAGAACCCUUCAGCAGCUCUCAGAUCCGCCCCAGGAUAAAGUGCAAACUAACUCACAGUCUCCUGACUGGGCCCUGUUCUCUCUUAUACCCUUUCUUGCCCAGCUCACACACAGGCGCCUGAAGGUUGGGCCUUUCUGACCAGAUGUCACAGUUUUGUCACUGCUUGUUUACAUGUCUCCCUGACCAGCGUAUGAGCACUGGGACAUCUUUCCAUCCUGCUCAUGAUACAGUGCCUAGUUUAUACCAUGCUCAGCAGUUGAUAGAUACCUGGAGUGGAUUGAAACCCACAUACAAAGCUUUACCAUUUACACAGGCAUAGCUUUAGUGUGUACAUCAGCGUCUCCUGGGGUUGGAGUUGUUGGCCUGCGAUGGAGCCUGGGAACCUGCAUUUUAUAAAAAGCAUCCCAGGGGCUUCAAACACAGGUGUGCUGACUGCACUCCAAAUAACGUGGCUUUGGAAUGAACGAUAGAUGUGAAAGUCUCAUGGUAUCUGUGUCUUUUGAAACCUUGUGAGCUUUCUUACCACCUAGGUGGCAUUUCUCCGUUUUCUCCUCAAGCCAUCUCUUUCUGUUGCUCAAGUCCUAGUCUGAGUACCAUGACACCUGGGACACCCGCUGUUUCUCCUCUCCCCACGGUGGGGAGUGGAUGAGUCCUAUUCACCCAGCCUCAUCUAGCUGCAGUUGUAAAAUCUAGAUGAUUGGUGUGCAUAUCUGAAUCAGUUAACUUUCUGUGUUAAAAAUUUGAGUCGCUCAGCUGUGUGUAGGGAUGAAGGACAUUCUUGCUGGCUCCUUGUUCUAUGGCGCUUCAUGUGUGCAUCUAGCUGCUGCAGCAGUGGCCAUCUGAGGAGAGAAGCGAGCUGCUGCUUCCUGAGGGCCCUGGCAGCAGAGCUGCUGGCUCUUGUGAGGUCUCCAUCUCUAGACCCCUUCCCAUGGGGUCAGUGUUUUCAUUUCCUAAGUCAGAGUUUGUAGUGAUGACAUUUAGGACAUAGCCCAUUUAGAAGGCAGGACAUGUUCUGUCAUAGUGCUGUCUGGUAUAUAUUUGGGGCAUGUGUGUAACUUAGAAUUUUCUAGGAGCCAUAUUUUAAAAUGAUAAAAGGAAAAUAGGUAGAAUUUAAUUUAAUUAUAUAUUUUACUUAACGCAGUAUAUCCAAAUACAAUUUUUCCAACAUGUAAUCGGUAUAAAACUUGUUUUUUUUUCAGUAUAAAACUUACUAAUGAAGCAUGUGUGAGUUUGCAUCUGAAAUCUGGUGUGUCUGUACUCAGAGCGCUGCUCAGUUUGGACUUGCCUCACAUCAAGUGCUCAAUAGCCAUUUCCCACCGCCUUUUGUUUCCUGUGGCUGCUGUCAACAGAAACCCUCAAAUAUUUGCUUUUAACAGAUAGCUCUGUGGGCCUGGCUGGUGUCUUUUGGGGCUCUGAGUGUCUGUCCCAGGCCUCUCUCCAGCCUCUGGUGGCUGCUGGCCAUCCUUGGCAUUCCUUGGAUUAGAGGUGCAUCACUUCAGGCUCUGCCUCUGCCGUCACGUGACCUUCUGUGUGUGUGUUUCCGUUUCUUACCAGGACAUCAGUCAUGGAAUUAGAUGCCACCCUAAUCCAGUAUUACCUCUUCCUAACUAGUUACAUCUGCCAAGACCCUAUUUCUAAAUAUGGUCACAUUCAGAGAUUCUGGGGAUGUUAAUUUCUGGGAUGCGGUUGGGGUUGGGGGGUGCGGUGUGGGUCACUCUCCAACCCAGUACAAUCAUAUAGUGCCCAGCUACUCUUUUUUCCAAAGCUCCAUGCACACGCACAUGUGCGUGCACACACACACACACACACAAAUGUAUAUAUAAAUGUGUGUGUAUAUAUAUAUAUGAGUUUUCCUGGAGUGCUGGUUAUCUAAGCCUGUGCUGGGGACAGCUUUUUGGGAAGUCUGCUACAUCCCAGUUAGAUCUUCUAGAUUUCACGGGAAUGUCACCAGGUUCUGUUCCAUCCACUUGGACAGUAACUAUUCUUGGACCGAGUCUCGACACCUAGAGGUGAAGUUUGUGUGUGUUGGAGAGGAACCCAGGUAAGGCACUUUCCCCCAUGACUGAAAUAUGAGGGGCUCAUGUCAGGGCACGUACUGAACAGAGCUGGAUUCUCUUUUCUUUUUUGUCCAGCACAACACCAUGGAGUCUCUGUUAGAGCGAGGUGAGAAGCUAGAUGACUUGGUGUCCAAAUCCGAGGUGCUGGGAACACAGUCUAAAGCCUUCUAUAAAACUGCCCGGAAACAAAACUCAUGCUGUGCCAUCAUGUGAUGCAGCCUGCCAGAGGCCCAAUGCUGGAAUGGCACCAUCAUUCACAUCAGAACUGCAGCCCCUGGAAAAGAAGAGACAGCCAUAGACGAGGAGCCAGAGUGGGGGCAGACUGGCCAUUUUUAUUUUGAAGUUCCUGCGAGAAAUGGAUGGUGGAAGGGUGGCGAAUGUUCAAAUUCAUAUGUGUGGUAGUGAUUCUUGGAAAGAAUUUGAGGUCCCCAAAGGUGUAUUUUUGGGCAAAUGAAACCAUAAACUCCGACUGGCUUCUGUAGAUGCCAAAGGGCUCUUUUUCAGCUAACCCUGGGAAGGCUCUGUGGGAGGGAGGUCGGAGCCAGCUGUUUCUCGAUCUUUGGUAUAUCUUUGGAUCUUAUUUGUACAUUAAUGAUAUUAACACUCCAGUGGGGGGUGGGGAGUCCCUGAUGCUAGGGCUGGGGUGGGUGGAGUUUGAAGACUCUUGGGAAAGCCUCUCCUGGGGCCACUGUUGGGGGUGGGAGUGAGCCCACCACAGAGGCCACAGGCAGGCCCCCACUUCAGGCCCAAGGCCUGGGGCGGGGGGAACAGUCACUGGGUCUCAGAUUCUGAGACUGUUGUUUAGCUUACCUUUCUGCUAGGAUUGGCUUCCCGCAGAGGGCAGGGCCCAUCCUAAGCAGCUUCCAAGUCCCACAAAGGUGGCUUGUGGGAGGAUUUGGAAGGAGCUGCAUUGUGGGCGGGGAGUGUGUGGGUUGGGUUCGUACCAGCAAGUAGACUAGGAACUGAGCCCAGGAAAGGGGGAUGUUUUCCUGGUGUUUGGAUGGUCAGCUGGGAGUGUCCAUCAUCAGGGGAAGAUCAAACACAGGUGCACUCAGCUGCCCAGGGCCUCUGGGACACUUGCCUUGACUUGCAACUUGCCUUGAACAUCACGAUCAAAGCAGCAGGUGCUGUGGUCUCUCAAAAUUGAUUUUUAUUUGACUCUGUGGCUCUAAGACUGCCUUGAACCGCCUGAGGCCUAUGCAUCUGAACAAGUGGGUCUCUCCCUUGAGCACCAGGAGUGGGUGCCAGCCGGCCCCGAGGAUUCCCAGCACCCCACCUAUGGUCUUGCCAGCAUAGGCUUGCUAGUUCCUUCUUGGUCAGAGGUAGCUGCAGAGGGGGGAGGCCAAGGGUUUGGUCUAAGCUGUGCCCUGCCACCUGGCAGGAGGCCCACUCACUGCCCAAGUCAUGGCAACAGGCUGGAGCAGCCCAGGAGAUGGGCCUAAAAUGUUCUGGAUCCCUUGGGUCCUAGUGUUAUGUUCCAGUCUGCCCACCUGUGCUCAGGAUGCAGCCCUGGGAUCCAGCACCCAUGGAAGCUUCUGCUGGGAUGGUGUCACCUAUGGGUUUUGAACCAGUGUGGUAUGGUCCUUGGGAGCUCUGCUCUGAGCUUGCCACACUGCUGAGAGCACCCACUGUCCUGACCAGAGUCUCAGUGGUCCUGACCCCCAAUGUGGGCAGGGGCUGGGCAGGAGGGUGGGGUCUGCUGUGGGUUCAGAGGACUCCACCUCCUGGCUGGUUUACCUGCUGCUGCCCAUUUUCUCUGGGUACUGCUGGCCAGAGGACUUUAGCCUACCCCUGAAGAGCCUGUCCAUGUCAUUUUCCUACUGCCAUAGAUACCCUAAGCCCAGGGCCCCUUGAGGCCCAGACUCAGCCUGCCCACUGGUGCCGGAGACGGAGUGGAGUGGGCCUGGAUCCGAGGGAUGCUACCUCUCCCUUUCCCACUUGAGGACCCUGGGGAGAGAUGGGGGCGGGGAAAAUGGAGGUAUGAAUUUGGGGUAAGAGGAAGUGAGAUCUCCGCUUGCAGGUCAGCCCCUGCCUUGCAGGGCGGGCUGGCUUGACUCAGGCCCUGUGAGAUAGAGGGCCCAGCCCAGCCCCACCCACAGAUCCCCUGCUCCUGUUGUGUUCUGUUGUAAAUCAUUUGGCGAGACUGUAUUUUAGUAACUGCUGCCUAACUUCCCUGUGUUCUAUUUGAGAGGCGCCUGUCUGGAUAAAGUUGUCUUGAAAUUU